Molecule: long non-coding RNA, 1084 nt
Organism: Vidua chalybeata
Lineage: Eukaryota; Metazoa; Chordata; Aves; Passeriformes; Viduidae
Exons: 6
Source: RefSeq, a predicted model, not a curated record
UUUUGGCAGCUGUAUUUCAUUGUGAUGCAUUAUGUCAGGGCACAUCAGUCACAUGAAGAUUUAUGGAAAAAAACAUACCCUUUUUAGAUGUCCCUCUCUGCAGUCCUCUUCAAAACACGGUGUUUUUUCAAGAAACUCAACAGAAGCUAUCAACAGUGUUAUGAUUCUUGAAACAUUUUUUCUAGGUGUCAGACAAUCCUGGAACUAAGAACCUCCAAACACAUUUCAUCCUCUGGUUUCCCUGAAACCUUUAGUUACACCUUGAAGUUACUGGAGUACAUGUUCUGUUCAAGUAACCAUAUAUAAAAUUGUCAUGAAGAUCAGCUGAGACCUCAUGGCAGAAAUCUCAUUUGAAACAACUGGAAGUUACUUCACCUUGGCUCAAGCCACAGCACAACACAUACCUUCUCCUCCUUCUCCAGCCCUGCUGAGCUCCUGAAGAUGCCUGGAAGAAUUUGCUGCAUUUCUGGCCCCAGAGGCUGUUAUGGAGAACACCAGUUGUGUGCAGUGUGCUGAAGUGGCAUUAUCUUCAUUUCAUUGAUAAGAAGAUUUACAUCCACAGAAAGCCAGACUGGAAGGUCUGGGGUAAGGACUGGGCCCAGAACUCCAGAUGAUAACCAGCUGCCUGCUUACGGUGGUAGCUCGAGUGGAUCUGUGUCACCCCAGAGUGACCCUGAAGAAAACUCGUGGAUCUGCAGAGGAAGAGAUGUCCAGGGUGUCACUUUAAGCAGGGCAUGUCUGGGUGUAUUGACCAUUGGCAGCAGUCCCACAUGAUGUCACAAGUCCCACACGGUGUGCGAGGUGGCAGCUGGAGCUGGGUGACACAGCCUGUGCAGCGUGGGCCCGUGGCCGUGGCGGCCGUGCAGCCUUGGCUGCCGUGCUGCGAGAGGAGCUGUGCUGACAGCUCCCUGCUCCCCUGGCGCUCCCUUCCUAACGAGGGAAGUGCAGAUGGGCCCGCUGGGUAUUGAGUAAACACUGCGAAAGGAGCUGCUUCAAUGGAUGGGGAUGUCUCUGUUCAAGUGCAAACAUUAUGUUUGUGUUUCAUUCUUUUGAUUUAGCUUUUAUAGUGCUUAUUAAAACAACA